Anastrepha ludens (Mexican fruit fly) is the source of this 820-nucleotide long non-coding RNA. RefSeq lists it as uncharacterized. The transcript is spliced from 3 exons. NCBI's taxonomy places the organism in Eukaryota, Metazoa, Arthropoda, Insecta, Diptera, Tephritidae. The record is from RefSeq and is a predicted model, not a curated record.
UGCUCCAAUUUCAAUUUCAAUUUCAAUACAAUUAAGGGAAAUUAUACUGAAUUUGCAUAAACCACAACGAAAUUUCAAUCAGGAAAGUCUUCGACAAAUGGCAAACAAGAAAAGCGUACGCACAGCAACACAGCAAGCACAGAGUGGAUGUAAAUGUAACAGCGCCAAAUAAAAUGGAAAGUUUUCACAAAAGCAACAAGCAAAUGUGAGCAGAAAACGAAGCAGGUGCAUUCUCCCUCUGGUGAAAAAUGCAGUGAAAGGAAAUGACAGCGGAGCGUCAUCAUACAGCUAUCAAACAUAUGAAAACAUUACAUUGAAUUAGUGAGCAGCAUUUAAAUUGGAGAGUUCCCUACAAAUACGUACUCAUACACAUAUACGAGUACAUUCCUACGCGUUGGUGUUAUUGCUUGGCUGUUUCGUUGUUGUGCGUUUACUCUCAUGGUGGUCGCUGUUCUGUAUGCGCAUGUUCCAUUUAACAACAAAACCAAAUUACUGCUCUGAGCUGUAAUAUGCUGGUAAGAGAUAAAUUCUCUGCAAGUUGAGAACAGUGGGGCUGAGCGGCAAGGUCAAAAUGAAUUUAUGCGAAAUGAAACCUGAAACGAAGAACACGAUUCACUUUCUCAAUAUCUCAAGAGGCAAAGAGAAGAUUUCUUUAGAAGUUAAUGACCGUUAGCAACGGUGGCUGAUCACUUUUCUUCAUGCGUUCAUCAGACGCGGCUUGCUACCUAAAUUUGAACAUCCAACUUUUCUGUUUCAACUUUAAUGUUAUUUGGGAAGUAGCACACGUAUACACAGUGGCACAGAAUUAAUCAUCCUUACU